Molecule: long non-coding RNA, 776 nt
Filed under: Fukomys damarensis (Damara mole-rat)
Lineage: Eukaryota; Metazoa; Chordata; Mammalia; Rodentia; Bathyergidae
Description: lncRNA (ENSFDAG00000022216.1)
Source: RNAcentral
CUCCAGCAAACCUGCUCUUCAAUUCUGCUUGAUCCGUGCAAACACUCCUCUUUGAUCCUAGUAAGACUUCGCUACAGAUAAGCUUUCAAUGUGAGAGGAAAAGAAUGUCAAUAAGACGAUAAUAUAUCUCAGGUGGUUGCCUGUGGCAGGUAUGAUCUCUUCAGUAGUGCAGGAGAGCUUUUUUCAUUGUCAAGGCCCUUUGCUAGAUCAUGUAGCGAUAAUAAAAUCAACAUAUCAAUACUAGUUCUUUUUUUUUUUUUUUUUUUUNNNNNNNNNNNNNNNNNUUUUUUUUUUUUUUUUUUGGCACCAGAGAUCGAACUCAGGACCUUGCGCUUGCAUGGCAGACGGCCGUAUCACUGAGCUAAGACCCCAGCCUGAUACUAGUUCUUGAAGUAUCUCAGCAAUCAUUCACUAGGAUCCAUCUGCUGUGAUAUGUGUCAUAUUUUAAGGGCAAAUUGGGAUUGAAAGGAAACAUUCCAAAUGAAGAAAUCUAAUGAAGCAAGCACUAAGAUGUAGACAUGCAGAGACAGGGUGACUACCCCUGCAGGACCUUACUCGAUUACUCCAUACUGACCGAAGGUCCCAUGAAAAAAACGUGUUUUGAUCACAUACGUCUCCCCAGUCCCAGGCCAGCUUCUCUGCUUCCCUCCCGAAGGAAACUUUCUAAGAGCUGAAGAGGUUUACAGGCCCGUCGAGGUCACUGCUCCUCCCGUCCACUCACACUUCCCACUCCGCGUGCCAGGAGUGUUCCCACUCCGCGCCACCCUCCUGCGGCC